CUACGGGAGGCAGCAGUGAGGAAUAUUGGACAAUGGGCGCAAGCCUGAUCCAGCCAUGCCGCGUGCAGGAUGACGGUCCUAUGGAUUGUAAACUGCUUUUGUACAGGAAGAAACACUGGUUCGUGAACCAGCUUGACGGUACUGUAAGAAUAAGGAUCGGCUAACUCCGUGCCAGCAGCCGCGGUAAUACGGAGGAUCCAAGCGUUAUCCGGAAUCAUUGGGUUUAAAGGGUCCGUAGGCGGUUUAGUAAGUCAGUGGUGAAAGCCCAUCGCUCAACGGUGGAACGGCCAUUGAUACUGCUAAACUUGAAUUAUUAGGAAGUAACUAGAAUAUGUAGUGUAGCGGUGAAAUGCUUAGAGAUUACAUGGAAUACCAAUUGCGAAGGCAGGUUACUACUAAUGGAUUGACGCUGAUGGACGAAAGCGUGGGUAGCGAACAGGAUUAGAUACCCCGGU
RNAcentral lists this ribosomal RNA (455 nucleotides) under uncultured bacterium. Its description in RNAcentral is "bacterial SSU rRNA". It matches the Rfam family "Bacterial small subunit ribosomal RNA", at positions 339 to 791 of the family's 1533-position model. The record is from RNAcentral.